GUCCAACAAUAUAAUUGGGAACUGGUCAUCAAAACGUAGAUAUCAGUAUAUAUCUAGAAGAUACUUGACUGAAAUAUACAUGAAACAAAGAAAAAAUUCUACUACCAAAUCCUGACCAAGAUUCCAAAAUGAGAUUAGCACACAGAAUCCAAAGGCAAGUGACUUAACAGCACUUGUACAACAAAGCAAGCAACGCAACACAUUGCACACAAGCAUAUAAAAGAA
Molecule: unclassified non-coding RNA, 225 nt
Filed under: Hevea brasiliensis (rubber tree)
Lineage: Eukaryota; Viridiplantae; Streptophyta; Magnoliopsida; Malpighiales; Euphorbiaceae
Source: RNAcentral